GCGGGUGUAGCUCAACGGUAGAGCCCUAGCCUUCCAAGCUAGUCAUGAGGGUUCGAUUCCCUUCACCCGCUCCA
This 74-nucleotide transfer RNA is filed under the name Lentisphaeria bacterium. RNAcentral's name for it is "tRNA-Gly". It matches the Rfam family "tRNA". Rfam says of the family: Transfer RNA (tRNA) molecules are approximately 80 nucleotides in length. Their secondary structure includes four short double-helical elements and three loops (D, anti-codon, and T loops). Further hydrogen bonds mediate the characteristic L-shaped molecular structure. tRNAs have two regions of fundamental functional importance: the anti-codon, which is responsible for specific mRNA codon recognition, and the 3' end, to which the tRNAs corresponding amino acid is attached (by aminoacyl-tRNA synthetases). tRNAs cope with the degeneracy of the genetic code in two manners: having more than one tRNA (with a specific anti-codon) for a particular amino acid; and 'wobble' base-pairing, i.e. permitting non-standard base-pairing at the 3rd anti-codon position. The record is from RNAcentral. Lineage: Bacteria; Pseudomonadati; Lentisphaerota; Lentisphaeria.